CGGCGCUGCGGCGGCGACUCCACCGGCCGGCUUCGCGCGCCGCCGCGGUGGUUCUCCGCCCCCGCCGGCUGCCUGUUCAGCCGGCGGCGGCGA
Molecule: transfer RNA, 93 nt
Filed under: Actinoplanes teichomyceticus
Lineage: Bacteria; Bacillati; Actinomycetota; Actinomycetes; Micromonosporales; Micromonosporaceae
Description: tRNA-Ala
Source: RNAcentral